RNAcentral lists this small nuclear RNA (327 nucleotides) under Erinaceus europaeus (western European hedgehog). RNAcentral describes it as "7SK RNA". It matches the Rfam family "7SK RNA". From Rfam's summary of the family: 7SK was discovered as an abundant small nuclear RNA in the mid-70s but a possible function has only recently been suggested. The record is from Rfam by way of RNAcentral. Lineage: Eukaryota; Metazoa; Chordata; Mammalia; Eulipotyphla; Erinaceidae.
GGAUGUGAGGGCGAUCUGGCUGCGACAUCUGUCACCCCAUUGAUCACCAGGGUUGAUUCAGCUGAUCUGACUGGCUAGGUGGGUGUCCCCUUCCUCCCUUACCACUCCAUGUGCUUCCCUCCUGAAGCUGCACGCUCGGUCAAAGAGGACAGCCUUCCCCGAAUAGAGACAGAACGGUCUUCAGUCGAGAGUAUAUGAGUAACUGUGCUCCCCUGCUAGAACCUCCAAACAAGCUCUCAAAGAAUAAAGCAUGGCUCGGAGGAAGAAAACUUCCAGGGUCUGUGCCUUUAUUUAUGUAUUCAUUUAUUUGAGCUGAUCAUAUUCAGG